UGGGGAAUAUUGCACAAUGGAGGGAACUCUGAUGCAGCGACGCCGCGUGAGUGAUGAAGGAAUUCGUUUCGUAAAACUCUGUUCUAUGGGAAGAAAAGGACUGUACCAUAGGAGAAAGCUCCGGCUAAAUACGUGCCAGCAGCCGCGGUAAUACGUAUGGAGCGAGCGUUGUCCGGAAUUAUUGGGCGUAAAGGGUGCGCAGGCGGCUUUACAAGUUGGAUGUGAAAUAUUGCGGCUCAACCACAAACGUGCAUCCAAAACUGCAAAGCUUGAGUUAAGGAGAGGUAAGUGGAAUUCCUGGUGUAGCGGUGGAAUGCGUAGAUAUCAGGAGGAAUACCGGUGGCGAAGGCGACUUACUGGACUUAAACUGACGCUCAGGCACGAAAGCGUGGGGAGCAAACAGG
RNAcentral lists this ribosomal RNA (404 nucleotides) under Fusobacteriota bacterium. RNAcentral's name for it is "Fusobacteria bacterium partial 16S ribosomal RNA". It matches the Rfam family "Bacterial small subunit ribosomal RNA", at positions 355 to 776 of the family's 1533-position model. Lineage: Bacteria; Fusobacteriati; Fusobacteriota. The record is from RNAcentral.